RNAcentral lists this ribosomal RNA (517 nucleotides) under Liolophura japonica. RNAcentral's name for it is "partial 16S ribosomal RNA". It matches the Rfam family "Bacterial large subunit ribosomal RNA", at positions 1815 to 2602 of the family's 2925-position model. The record is from RNAcentral. Lineage: Eukaryota; Metazoa; Mollusca; Polyplacophora; Chitonida; Chitonidae.
AUCGCUCUUUGUAAAUAUAAAAUAAGGAGUCGUACCUGCCCGGUGAAAAAUUUAACGGCCGCAGUACCCUGACUGUGCAAAGGUAGCAUAAUCAUUUGCCUUUUAAUUGAAGGCUGGAAUGAAUGGUUUGACGAAAUUCUUCUGUCUCUAUCUUAUUAAAUAGAAUUUAAUUUUUAGGUGAAGAAGCCUGAAUGAAGUCAAAAGACGAAAAGACCCUGUCGAACUUUAGAGUAACUAUAAAAUUAUAUGCUUUUUAGAAUAAAUGUUUUUUAGAAUUUCUCUUUUGUUGGGGUGACAGAAGAACAGAUAAAGCUUCUUUUAGUUGAGGAAACUUAUAUGUUGAAAAGAUCCAUAAAAAUUUAUGAUAGUAAGAUAAGUUACCGCAGGGAUAACAGCGUUAUUUUUCUGGAGAGUUCAAAUUGAAGGAAAAGAUUGCGACCUCGAUGUUGGAUUGGAAUACCUAAUAGGCGGAGAAGCUUGUUGUUGGGGGUCUGUUCGACCUUUAAAUUUCCACAUG